UACGUAGCGUACGAACGUUAUUCGGAAUUACUGGGCUUAAAGGGUUUGUAGGCGGCCUUGUAAGUCAGGUGUGAAAUCCCUCGGCUCAACCGAGGAAUAGCGCUUGAUACUGCAAGGCUUGAGGGAGACAGGGGUAAGCGGAACUGAUGGUGGAGCGGUGAAAUGCGUAGAUAUCGUUUGGAACGCCAAUGGUGAAAACAAGUAGCUGGGGAUGUGCCGACGCUGAGACACGAAAGCCAGGGGAGCGAACGGG
This 253-nucleotide ribosomal RNA is filed under the name uncultured bacterium. RNAcentral's name for it is "partial 16S ribosomal RNA". It matches the Rfam family "Bacterial small subunit ribosomal RNA", at positions 524 to 776 of the family's 1533-position model. The record is from RNAcentral.